GACGAACGCUGGCGGCGUGCUUAACACAUGCAAGUCGAACGGAAAGGCCCUGCUUUUGUGGGGUGCUCGAGUGGCGAACGGGUGAGUAACACGUGAGUAACCUGCCCUUGACUUUGGGAUAACUUCAGGAAACUGGGGCUAAUACCGGAUAGGAGCGCCUGCUGCAGGGUGGGGGUUGGAAAGUUUCGGCGGUUGGGGAUGGACGCGCGGCUUAUCAGCUUGUGGGUGGGGUAGCGGCUUACCAAGGCUUUGACGGGUAGCCGGCCUGAGAGGGUGACCGGGCACAUUGGGACUGAGAUACGGCCCAGACUCCUACGGGAGGCAGCAGUGGGGAAUAUUGCACAAUGGGCGGAAGCCUGAUGCAGCAACGCCGCGUGCGGGAUGAAGGCCUUCGGGUUGUAAACCGCUUUCGCCUGUGACGAAGCGUGAGUGACGGUAAUGGGUAAAGAAGCACCGGCUAACUACGUG
This 468-nucleotide ribosomal RNA is filed under the name uncultured bacterium. Its description in RNAcentral is "partial 16S ribosomal RNA". It matches the Rfam family "Bacterial small subunit ribosomal RNA", at positions 28 to 507 of the family's 1533-position model. The record is from RNAcentral.